Small nucleolar RNA from Vulpes vulpes (red fox), 77 nucleotides. Its record names the gene SNORD115. It matches the Rfam family "Small nucleolar RNA SNORD115". From Rfam's summary of the family: HBII-52 is a member of the C/D class of snoRNAs, which contain the C (UGAUGA) and D (CUGA) box motifs. NCBI's taxonomy places the organism in Eukaryota, Metazoa, Chordata, Mammalia, Carnivora, Canidae. The record is from Ensembl.
UGGUCAAUGAUGAGUACUUAUAUUGUCUCUAAGACAUGAUGACAUAAAAACCAACUCAAAAAAAUAUGCUAAGGCCA